RNAcentral lists this ribosomal RNA (258 nucleotides) under uncultured bacterium. Its description in RNAcentral is "partial 16S ribosomal RNA". It matches the Rfam family "Bacterial small subunit ribosomal RNA", at positions 793 to 1055 of the family's 1533-position model. The record is from RNAcentral.
GUCCACGCCCUAACGAUGUCAACUAGCUGUUGGGCCGUUAGGCCUUAGUAGCGCAGCUAACGCGUGAAGUUGACCGCCUGGGGAGUACGGUCGCAAGAUUAAACUCAAAGGAAUUGACGGGACCCGCACAAGCGGUGGAUGAUGUGGAUUAAUUCGAUGCAACGCGAAACCUUACCUACCCUUGACAUGUCUGGAAUCCCGAAGAGAUUUGGGAGUGCUCGCAAGAGAACCGGAACACAGGUGCUGCAUGGCUGUCGU